CUUGCCAGUCGGCUGCAAACAUCGUAAUCAAUCAGUCAUCUUCAUUCGUCGUCCUCCGGGUGGAAUUACGAAAAUUUGGAAAUAACCUCUUCCUCCCCUAUUUUUUGUCUCUCCCCACGUCCGGUCCACCCCCUCUAUCCGUUUCUAUUGAUCAGUGUUAACCACACCCUCCUCCCCUUCUACCCACCACCACAAGAAGAAGAAAGAUGGGUGCCUGUUGUGGAAAGAAGAAGCAAGACGCUGGAGCCACGGACGAAGCAGCCGCGACCCCUUCGGAAAUGCAGUGUCCUAAAUGUGGAGGAUGUCAUAAUGACGGGUCCGCCUGUCCGAACGAAGACCAGGCCCCUCCGGACAAUUAACGCAGCGGAGACAACAUAAGACUGACACACCAAACGGAAACCUAAAAAAGACAAAUCGAAAUUGUACGUGUUGAAUUACUUUGGUGAAGAUCUUCUUCAUGGCUCUUCAAAAUUCGUUCACAUUAUUUUGUAAGAAUGUAUCUUUAUUAUAAACAACUUUUCUAAAUUCGAAUUGGACCCAUUGUUCAUGUAAUUAUAUCGAUCGAUCUGGUCAGAGGAAAAUGUGGUCAUUAUAAAUAUCAAAUAAAAAUCUUUGUUUAAAACAGCUCAA
Folsomia candida is the source of this 630-nucleotide long non-coding RNA. RefSeq lists it as uncharacterized. The transcript has 3 exons. The record is from RefSeq and is a predicted model, not a curated record. NCBI's taxonomy places the organism in Eukaryota, Metazoa, Arthropoda, Collembola, Entomobryomorpha, Isotomidae.